GGGCCGGUAGCUCAGUGGUAGAGCACGUGACUUUUAAUCAUGUGGUCGUCGGUUCGACCCCGACCCGGCUCACCA
RNAcentral lists this transfer RNA (75 nucleotides) under Hyphomicrobium sp. RNAcentral's name for it is "tRNA-Lys". It matches the Rfam family "tRNA". From Rfam's summary of the family: Transfer RNA (tRNA) molecules are approximately 80 nucleotides in length. Their secondary structure includes four short double-helical elements and three loops (D, anti-codon, and T loops). RNAcentral also lists the same sequence under 2 other names. Lineage: Bacteria; Pseudomonadati; Pseudomonadota; Alphaproteobacteria; Hyphomicrobiales; Hyphomicrobiaceae. The record is from RNAcentral.